UUCUUGGUCAUUUAGAGGAAGUAAAAGUCGUAACAAGGUUUCCGUAGGUGAACCUGCGGAAGGAUCAUUAAAGAAAUUUAAUAAUUUUGAAAAUGGAUUUUUUUGUUUUGGCAAGAGCAUGAGAGCUUUUACUGGGCAAGAAGACAAGAGAUGGAGAGUCCAGCCGGGCCUGCGCUUAAGUGCGCGGUCUUGCUAGGCUUGUAAGUUUCUUUCUUGCUAUUCCAAACGGUGAGAGAUUUCUGUGCUUUUGUUAUAGGACAAUUAAAACCGUUUCAAUACAACACACUGUGGAGUUUUCAUAUCUUUGCAACUUUUUCUUUGGGCAUUCGAGCAAUCGGGGCCCAGAGGUAACAAACACAAACAAUUUUAUCUAUUCAUUAAAUUUUUGUCAAAAACAAGAAUUUUCGUAACUGGAAAUUUUAAAAUAUUAAAAACUUUCAACAACGGAUCUCUUGGUUCUCGCAUCGAUGAAGAACGCAGCGAAAUGCGAUACGUAAUGUGAAUUGCAGAAUUCCGUGAAUCAUCGAAUCUUUGAACGCACAUUGCGCCCCUUGGUAUUCCAGGGGGCAUACCUGUUUGAGCGUCAUUUCCUUCUCAAACAUUCUGUUUGGUAGUGAGCGAUACUCUUUGGAGUUAACUUGAAAUUGCUGGCCUUUUCAUUGGAUGUUUCUUUUCCAAAGAGAGGUUUCUCUGCGUGCUUGAGGUAUAAUGCAAGUACGGUCGUUUUAGGUUUUACCAACUGCGGCUAAUCUUUUUUUAUACUGAGCGUAUUGGAACGUUAUCGAUAAGAAGAGAGCGUCUAGGCGAACAAUGUUCUUAAAGUUUGACCUCAAAUCAGGUAGGAGUACCCGCUGAACUUAAGCAUAUCAAUAAGCGGAGGAA
This 882-nucleotide ribosomal RNA is filed under the name uncultured fungus. RNAcentral's name for it is "eukaryotic LSU rRNA". The stretch from base 433 to 586 matches the Rfam family "5.8S ribosomal RNA". Lineage: Eukaryota; Fungi. The record is from RNAcentral.